CAGGGGGGGCAAGCGUUGUUCGGAAUUACUGGGCGUAAAGGGCCAGUAGGCGGCCAACUAAGUCACACGUGAAAUCCCCAGGCUCAACCUGGGAACUGCGUGUGAUACUGGAUGGCUUGAAUUCGGGAGAGGGAUGCAGAAUUCCAGGUGUAGCGGUGAAAUGCGUAGAUAUCUGGAGGAAUACCGGUGGCGAAGGCGGCAUCCUGGACCGACAUUGACGCUGAACGGCGAAAGCUAGGGGAGCAAACGGGAUUAGAUACCCCGGUAGUCCUAGCCCUAAACGAUGAAUGCUUGGUGUGGCGGGUAUCGAUCCCUGCCGUGCCGAAGCUAACGCAUUAAGCAUUCCGCCUGGGGAGUACGGUCGCAAGGCUG
This 372-nucleotide ribosomal RNA is filed under the name uncultured organism. Its description in RNAcentral is "bacterial SSU rRNA". It matches the Rfam family "Bacterial small subunit ribosomal RNA", at positions 526 to 896 of the family's 1533-position model. The record is from RNAcentral.